Etheostoma spectabile (orangethroat darter) is the source of this 79-nucleotide long non-coding RNA. RefSeq lists it as uncharacterized. The transcript has 3 exons. NCBI's taxonomy places the organism in Eukaryota, Metazoa, Chordata, Actinopteri, Perciformes, Percidae. The record is from RefSeq and is a predicted model, not a curated record.
UGCCGGUGUUGUGUGCCUUCUGGUUUUUCCACCUACUGGUUUCCGAGCCUGUCCGGAUGCCGUGUGGGCCUGGCGGCCU